CCUACGGGAGGCUGCAGUGGGGAAUAUUUGGCAAUGGGCGCAAGCCUGACCCAGCAACGCCGCGUGAAGGAAGAAGGCUUUCGGGUUGUACACUUCUUUUCUCAGGGACGAAGCAAGUGACGGUACCCGAGGAAUAAGCCACGGCUAACUACGUGCCAGCAGCCGCGGUAAUACGUAGGUGGCAAGCGUUAUCCGGAUUUACUGGGUGUAAAGGGCGUGUAGGCGGGACGGCAAGUCAGAUGUGAAAACCAUGGGCUCAACCUAUGGCCUGCAUUUGAAACUGUAGUUCUUGAGUACUGGAGAGGCAGACGGAAUUCCUAGUGUAGCGGUGAAAUGCGUAGAUAUUAGGAGGAACACCAGUGGCGAAGGCGGUCUGCUGGACAGCAACUGACGCUGAGGCGCGAAAGCGUGGGGAGCAAACAGGAUUAGAUACCCUAGUAGUC
This 443-nucleotide ribosomal RNA is filed under the name uncultured bacterium. Its description in RNAcentral is "partial 16S ribosomal RNA". It matches the Rfam family "Bacterial small subunit ribosomal RNA", at positions 338 to 795 of the family's 1533-position model. The record is from RNAcentral.